UCGGUGGGAUCUUCGUCCGUUU
RNAcentral lists this microRNA (22 nucleotides) under Bombyx mori (domestic silkworm). RNAcentral describes it as "bmo-miR-278-3p". Its record names the gene bmo-miR-278-3p. The record is from miRBase by way of RNAcentral. RNAcentral also lists the same sequence under 2 other names. Lineage: Eukaryota; Metazoa; Arthropoda; Insecta; Lepidoptera; Bombycidae.